RNAcentral lists this long non-coding RNA (1206 nucleotides) under Oryctolagus cuniculus (rabbit). Its description in RNAcentral is "lncRNA (ENSOCUG00000035913.1)". The record is from RNAcentral. Lineage: Eukaryota; Metazoa; Chordata; Mammalia; Lagomorpha; Leporidae.
AUGCAUGUGUGGAUUUGUGUGUGUGUGCACCUAUGUAGAUGUGUGGGUGAGCCUGUGUGUAUGCAUGGGUAUGUGGGGGGGGUGUGGGUGUGCGUGUGUGUAUGCCCCAUGGAAACCACAGGCCAUGGGCGUUCAGAGUGUGAGCUCCUCUCCUGCCCAAAGAUGGCUCGCCUGGCUCUUGGCCGUGGCAUCAGACCCCGUGGUCGGCGUGCGGCUGACCCUCUGGAAGCCCUCGCCAUCUCCUGGGCACAGGGCUCUUUUUCAGAUCCCCUAGCGCUGGGCCGUGGGGCGUGGGUGGGCUGGCUCUGGCUGGGCCAGGGCUGUGGAGUGAGUCGAGGUCAGGGGCAGAGCACGGAGAAGCCACGUGGAAGCAGAAUGUUCUCUGGACGUGCUGACCGCCGGCCCCACGAGGGAGAGCGCAGCGUUGUAGUAAGUCCGCCGCGGAGGGACUUUGCAGUGUGGGACAGAACGGGCGCCCCUGGGCGCCGGGUCCUCUCUAAGCCUGGACGCCCAGCCUUGGCUCCAGGACGCCGGGGCCACCGCCAGGGCUGCGCAGACGCCCUCUGUGGCCUGUGCCCAGCAGCGCCCACCCUGACCCCAGAGAAACCUAGUGGAGAAGCCCUGCUGGCAGCCCUCUGCCCGCCCCAUCCCCUGAAGGUCAGAGUGGCGCGGGGCCACUUGGGACAUCGCUCUGACGUCAUCGCUCAGUCUGGCUCCGGGGAGUGCGAGCAGGGAACUUCUUCCAUCCCCCGGGGAUUCGCUUUGCCUUCCUGUUCGCCUUUGAAGGACAACACAGCCUCAGCCUGGGCGUGGACAGGAAGUGGACAUGGGCCUUGGCCAGAUCCACGGCGCUUCGCCAGGCCACUGCCUCUUUGCGCUUUGUCCUGUGUGUCCACGUUGAGUCACGCAGGCACCUGGGGCUGGCUUGCUUCCCGGCCAGCUCUCCGGCUCCUGCUGCCCUCAGGCUCAUUUGCUUUCUCCCUUUCUUCCCUCCCUGUGCCUGGCGGGUCCAGUUUGCAGGAGCUCGUUUCAAACUGUCCUAGGCCAACCAACCCCAAAGCAAACAGGGACAGCGGGGAGUGGGAGCGAAGCGCCGGCUCCACCCUGCCCUCUGGGCACGCUGGUGCCAGUUUCCAGCUUCCCGCUGAGGGUGCUCACCUGCUGGCCUCUGGCUCCCCCGUGUGGCCCGGCUUGAUGGACAUCUGA